This 253-nucleotide ribosomal RNA is filed under the name uncultured bacterium. RNAcentral describes it as "partial 16S ribosomal RNA". It matches the Rfam family "Bacterial small subunit ribosomal RNA", at positions 524 to 776 of the family's 1533-position model. The record is from RNAcentral.
UACGUAGGGUGCGAGCGUUAAUCGGAAUUACUGGGCGUAAAGCGUGCGCAGGCGGUGAGCUGUGUCCGAUGUGAAAUCCCCGGGCUUAACCUGGGAAUGGCAUUGGAAACUGGCUUGCUCGAGUGCGGCAGAGGGGGGUGGAAUUCCGCGUGUAGCAGUGAAAUGCGUAGAGAUGCGGAGGAACACCGAUGGCGAAGGCAGCCCCCUGGGUCGACACUGACGCUCAGGCACGAAAGCGUGGGGAGCAAACAGG